AACGAGACCUUAACCUGCUAAAUAGCCCGGCUAGCUUUGGCUGGUCGCUGGCUUCUUAGAGGGACUUACGGCUCAAGCCGAAUGAAGUUUUGCGCUAUAACAGGUCUAAGAUGCCAGGGAAGUUUCUGGGCCGCCAGCGCGAAACAAUGACAGCGCCAACGAGUUUAGAGAAAAAAACGAAAGGUCUGGGUAAUCUGGGGAAACUCU
RNAcentral lists this ribosomal RNA (207 nucleotides) under Helotiales sp. RNAcentral describes it as "partial small subunit ribosomal RNA". It matches the Rfam family "Eukaryotic small subunit ribosomal RNA", at positions 1334 to 1563 of the family's 1831-position model. The record is from RNAcentral. Lineage: Eukaryota; Fungi; Ascomycota; Leotiomycetes; Helotiales.